Molecule: transfer RNA, 70 nt
Filed under: Styracaster yapensis
Lineage: Eukaryota; Metazoa; Echinodermata; Asteroidea; Paxillosida; Porcellanasteridae
Description: tRNA-Asp
Source: RNAcentral
AAAGAACUAGUUAAAACAUAACCCCAGAAUGUCAGACCGGAAUUAUUAGUAUUCAACCUAAUGUUCUUUA